Molecule: long non-coding RNA, 361 nt
Organism: Pomacea canaliculata
Lineage: Eukaryota; Metazoa; Mollusca; Gastropoda; Architaenioglossa; Ampullariidae
Exons: 3
Source: RefSeq, a predicted model, not a curated record
GUCCAUUUACAUAAUAGAAGGAUGGAGUGGGCGUCACGAGCGACAAAGGUAUAAAGCGACCAACUCACCAAACACAAGCAUAGGCCACCCGACAUCUCCAGGCCACCCCAUACCUCUCGGGUUGUGUAUGUCCUCGUACAAUCGAAGGAAAGAAGUAUGAUUUGUUGGCAAGCAUUUUCCACCUUGGCCUUGCUCCUGCUGCUGCGGCUGGGGGCUGAUGCCCAGGACAAGCUGCCCCCACCCAGGUACAGACAGAGAGACGAUGACAUAGCGGAGCUCCGCAAGUUUGUCAACCCCAGUUGUAUCUGGGUGGAGCUGCCAGACAACAAGAAGUAUGCUCAGUUGGUGGCCUUCUUCCCCA